Molecule: ribosomal RNA, 253 nt
Filed under: uncultured bacterium
Lineage: Bacteria
Description: partial 16S ribosomal RNA
Rfam family: Bacterial small subunit ribosomal RNA
Source: RNAcentral
UACGUAGGGGGCAAGCGUUGUCCGGAUUUAUUGGGCGUAAAGAGCGUGUAGGCGGCCAUACAGGUCCGUUGUGAAAACUGGAGGCUUAACCUCCAGACGUCGAUGGAAACCGUAUGGCUAGAGUCCGGAAGAGGAGAGUGGAAUUCCUGGUGUAGCGGUGAAAUGCGCAGAUAUCAAGAGGAACACCUGCGGCGAAGGCGGGUUGCUGGGCCGACACUGACGCUGAGGCGCGAAAGCCAGGGGAGCGAACGGG